GAUGAACGCUGGCGGCGUGCCUAAUACAUGCAAGUCGAGCGGACGGACGAGGAGCUUGCUUCUCUGAUGUUGGCGGCGGGCGGGUGAGUCGCACGUGGAUUGCCUACCUCUAAGGCUUGGGUCACUUCGGGAAACCGGAGCUCGUACCGGAUGAUAUUUUGAACCGCAUGGUUCGAAAGUUAAUGACGUUCUUGCUGUGCCUUCUACAUGGCUCCGCGCUGCAUUAGCUAGUUGGUAAGCUAACGGCUUACCAAGGCCACGAUGGAUGGCCGACCUGAGAGGGUGAACGCGCCCACAGGGGGUGAGACACGGUCCAGACACCUACGGGAGGCACCAGUAGCGAAUCUUGCGCAAUGGGCGGAAGCCUGACGGAGCAACGCCGCGUGAGUGAUGCAGGUCUUCGGAUCGUAUAACUCUGUUAUUAGGGAAGAACAUUUGUGUAAGUAACUGUGCACAUCGUGACGGUACCUAAUCAGAAAGCCCCGGCUAACUACGUG
This 497-nucleotide ribosomal RNA is filed under the name uncultured bacterium. RNAcentral's name for it is "partial 16S ribosomal RNA". It matches the Rfam family "Bacterial small subunit ribosomal RNA", at positions 28 to 507 of the family's 1533-position model. The record is from RNAcentral.